AAUAUUGGACAAUGGGCGAAAGCCUGAUCCAGCCAUGCCGCGUGUGUGAAGAAGGUCAUCGGAUUGUAAAGCACUUUAAGUUGGGAGAAAGGGCCGUAAGUUAAUACCUUGCUGUCUUGUCGUUACCGACAGAAUAAGCACAGGCUAACUUCGUACCAGCAGCCGCAGUAAUACGAAGGGUGCAAGAGUUAAUCGGAAUUACUGUGCGUAAAGCGCGCGUAGGUGGUUCGUUAAGUUGGAAGUGAAAGCCCCGGGCUUAACCUGGGAAUUGCUUUCAAAACUGACGAGAUAGAGUACGGUAGAGGGUAGUGGAAUUUCCUGUGUAGCGGUGAAAUGCGUAGAUAUAGGAAGGAACAUCAGUGGCGAAGGCGACUACCUGGACUGAUACUGACACUGAGGUGCGAAAGCGUGGGGAGCAAACAGG
RNAcentral lists this ribosomal RNA (424 nucleotides) under uncultured bacterium. RNAcentral describes it as "partial 16S ribosomal RNA". It matches the Rfam family "Bacterial small subunit ribosomal RNA", at positions 360 to 776 of the family's 1533-position model. The record is from RNAcentral.